Molecule: long non-coding RNA, 1255 nt
Organism: Eurytemora carolleeae
Lineage: Eukaryota; Metazoa; Arthropoda; Copepoda; Calanoida; Temoridae
Exons: 2
Source: RefSeq, a predicted model, not a curated record
GAGGAACAGCUGUUCAUGGAGGGUCGCUUAAUAUUAUGCUUACAGUCCCUUAAAGUGUUAAAUAUUAUCAGAUCUUGGUUGGAGGAACAGCUGUUCAUGAACAAGUUCAAUCUAGAAAAUCCUACAGGAUAGAGGACAUGAAGGAGGAUGAUGAGGAAACAGUGGUCCUGUUCAGUAAACAUGAUGAUAAUAUCAGUCUUAACUCCGACUGAAGAAUUCUAAGAUCAAGCAAAGAUCAAAUGUGGCUCUGUUCUGUAAACAUGAUAAUAUCAGUCUUAACUCAGACUAGAUAAUUCUAAGAUUAAGCUCAGAUCAACUGUAGCUCUGUUCAGUAAACAUGAUAAUAUCAGUCUUAACUCGGACUAGAUAAUUCUAAGAUUAAGCUCAGAUCAACUGUAGCUCUGUUUAGUAAACAUGAUAAUAUCAGUCUUAACUCAGACUAGAUAAUUCUAAGAUUAAGCUCAGAUCAACUGUAUCUCUGUUAAGUAAACACUAAUAUAAGUCUUAACUUCAACUAGAUGAUACUACGAUUUAGCUCAGAUCAUCUCUAGUGCUGACAAAAUAAUACUUAAGUUAAGGCUAACAUAAACGUCGAGAUAAUCUCCAUUCCAAAUAAAUAUUAAGUCAUGAAUGGUUAUUUCCACAAGAUCUUCCAAUUGUUUUAAAUUCCAAGUAAAUUUCACAUUUUCAUUAUUCCUUAGCCAGAAGCGAAUUAUUGAUUUAGGUAGUAUUCGACAAAUUAGUGAGGUAUAUUGCAAUAUUUAAUAGAGUUUUUUUUAUGGUUUACAGUACAGUACAGUACAGGAAUGUACAUAUUUCAGAAAUAUUCUCGUCAUCUACUGAGGAACAUUUUUAACAUCUAAGCAUAAGAAGAGGAUAAAUACUUCUGAAAAAUAGAUAACCCUUAUUUUUUUCUAAUUUACUGGAGAUAAGAUCUCGUAUAUUCAAAGCAAAUUUUGAUUUUUUUCUGUGAUAUUUUAACAUUACAAGUACUAAUGCUGAGUUUCUGGUUUGCGUAGGUUAUGGCAUAUUUUUUGUAUGAUCUUUGUAGUUUUCAGAUAUUUCAACCUUGAGUAUAACAUGCUUGUAUUUAUGUGUUAGUGUACAGUAUAUAUCCCAACCUACCUUUUUUAACCUGACACCCCUUCUGUUUUGCUCCCAACCCCCUUCCCCCCCCUGGCUCCAUUAUUUUAAUCCUGCAACCCGCUAAUUUUAUUUAAAGUUAACAUUCUCAAGCUAAAAAAGUUCUUUUAAA